CACACACACACACACACACACACACACACAAAUAGAACAGUCAGAAACAGAAACAGACAACGAGAUCAUCAUACUUACCCCUUUCAUACUUACUUACUUACUUUUCCAUCAAUCUUCUCGGCCCAUAUUGUGUAGCUCUUUUGCCU
This 146-nucleotide non-coding RNA is filed under the name Fragilariopsis kerguelensis. Lineage: Eukaryota; Bacillariophyta; Bacillariophyceae; Bacillariales; Bacillariaceae. The record is from RNAcentral.